UCCCAUCAGAUCGAACCGAGAUCUCUAGCUUAAGCAAUUGACGAUCCUAUCCACAGUAUUCAGGUGUACAUAAGCUCCUAUCCACACUAUCCAUGUGUGCGUAAGCUCUAGUAAAAUGAGAUCCAUCGUUCUACUUGCACAUUUAGCUUAGCUCCAUAAAAUAAAGAUGAGACGAAGCACAACCUUCCUGAAACCACAAAACAGAAAGUACCAAACAGUAAUAAAGCGAAUUGAUAGCCACAAAAAUGUUUGUUGGAAAUUUCUGCAAACAAGUAGGAAAAGCAGUAAAGGUAUUUAAAAUAGAUUAUAAAAAAACUUGUGAUAUAAAGUUAGAAAAAUAAGGAGGAUGAGGGAGAGAGAGAGAAAGCAAGAUUGAACCAUAUCUGGAACUGACGUGUCUCAGAGCUGAAUUCCUACUUUAAUACAACACCUGUGGAUCAACACAGUCCAAAGCAAAGGUCGAAAGUCGAGAAAUAUCAUAUCUUGCACAUAUAUAUAUCAUAAGGAGAAUCAAAUCUUAAUCGGCAGAACAGAGAGAAGGUUCUUCAUAUGAGACAAAUAGGUUGAACAUCCAGUGGCAGACGAAAGUUUACCGGACACUCUGUUUAGAAUUGUCAUAUAAACACAAUCAUGACGAGGGGAGAACAUACUCGUAUUCAAAGCGCUUUCUUCUACAAGGAAUCUUUUUGAGAAAAAAACAAAUCAGCCGAUUACCGAAACCCUGGCAAGAGAAAACACAAUCCAAACGCAAAACCCAUGUUAAUAAACCACUUGUUAAUGCAUACGAAAACCACACCUAAUACCUCGCCGGAUCAAAAUUACCAAAAUAAAACCAAUUCAGAAUCACAAUCAGACGAACGACCCCGAAUCCAUGACGAUCCAAUUGUCAAACCGGCAAAAUAACCCCAAAUAAAAUCAAAUCAGGACCACAAUCAGACGGUAUCGCGAAAGAGAAGAAAAAACACGCGACGGAUAAUCAUUGAAUUGAAUUGCGCAGGUUUCAUAGCGACGAUGAUACAUAUAAUCUAGAAAAACGGAGACGACAAAUAAACAAAAGCAAUAAUCAAACAAAACUCUAAAAUCCGCAGAUAACCAACAAAGACGAGAGACGAAGGAAUGAGUUACGGUUGUAGGAGGGGACGGGUAUUUAUAGAAGAGUCGGUGUUGAGUGGACGGCUGAGAUUAAUCGGAUCAAAGAUACCAAAUGGUUGGACAACCACCGUCAUUUUUGUCGCAAGUUUCUGCAAAUAGAAUUUGAAAUGUAAAAAAUAAUAGAUUAUGGAGGGAUUCAUAAGAAUAUAAAAUUUGGCAUCACUAUCGUACUCAC
RNAcentral lists this long non-coding RNA (1327 nucleotides) under Erythranthe guttata (spotted monkey flower). Its description in RNAcentral is "long non-coding RNA (EGUT_LNC003229)". Lineage: Eukaryota; Viridiplantae; Streptophyta; Magnoliopsida; Lamiales; Phrymaceae. The record is from RNAcentral.